UACGUAGGCAGCGAGCGUUGUUCGGAGUUACUGGGCGUAAAGCGUGCGUAGGCGGUGUCUUAAGUUUGUUGUGAAAUCUCCCGGCUUAACCGGGAGGGUGCGGCGAAUACUGAGAUGCUGGAGUGCCGGAGAGGUAAGCGGAAUUCCUGGUGUAGCGGUGAAAUGCGUAGAGAUGUGGAGGAAUACCGAUGGCGAAGGCAGCCCCCUGGGAUAACACUGACGCUCAUGCACGAAAGCGUGGGGAGCAAACGGG
Molecule: ribosomal RNA, 253 nt
Filed under: uncultured bacterium
Lineage: Bacteria
Description: partial 16S ribosomal RNA
Rfam family: Bacterial small subunit ribosomal RNA
Source: RNAcentral